Ctenocephalides felis (cat flea) is the source of this 286-nucleotide long non-coding RNA. RefSeq lists it as uncharacterized. The record is from RefSeq and is a predicted model, not a curated record. The transcript has 3 exons. NCBI's taxonomy places the organism in Eukaryota, Metazoa, Arthropoda, Insecta, Siphonaptera, Pulicidae.
AGAAUUAUAUACUACGUUCAUUCUUUUCUUCCGACAUCAGCGUUGACUAGUCGACUCCAUUACAAGUGCAUGGCCAAACAUUAAAUUGCUUGAAAAGCUUAAGUAAUCAAGGAGAAUGAGAGCUAAGUGGCGUAAGAAGAGAAUGCGCAGGCUAAAGCGUAAACGCAGGAAGAUGCGUGCACGUUCCAAAUAAGCUAACAAUAUAAAAUGGUGCGCUUCUGAAUGAAGAUAUGCUACUUGUAUUGUUGACUUUAAUAUUAAAUAAAUAAGCUCAUUAAAAACCCAA